RNAcentral lists this ribosomal RNA (504 nucleotides) under uncultured Clostridiaceae bacterium. Its description in RNAcentral is "bacterial SSU rRNA". It matches the Rfam family "Bacterial small subunit ribosomal RNA", at positions 92 to 613 of the family's 1533-position model. Lineage: Bacteria; Bacillati; Bacillota; Clostridia; Eubacteriales; Clostridiaceae. The record is from RNAcentral.
UUAGCGGCGGACGGGUGAUAACACGUGGGUAACCUGCCUCAAAGUGGGGGAUAGCCUUCCGAAAGGAAGAUUAAUACCGCAUAAGCCUACAGUGCCGCAUGGCACCGUAGGAAAAGGAGCAAUCCGCUUUGAGAUGGACCCGCGGCGCAUUAGCUAGUUGGUGAGGUAACGGCUCACCAAGGCGACGAUGCGUAGCCGACCUGAGAGGGUGAUCGGCCACAUUGGAACUGAGACACGGUCCAGACUCCUACGGGAGGCAGCAGUGGGGAAUAUUGCACAAUGGGCGAAAGCCUGAUGCAGCAACGCCGCGUGAGUGAUGAAGGCCUUCGGGUCGUAAAGCUCUUUGAUCAGGGAUGAUAAUGACAGUACCUGAAAAACAAGCCACGGCUAACUACGUGCCAGCAGCCGCGGUAAUACGUAGGUGGCGAGCGUUGUCCGGAAUUACUGGGCGUAAAGGAUGCGUAGGUGGAUAUUUAAGUGGGAUGUGAAAUCCCCGGGCUCAAC